Molecule: long non-coding RNA, 1250 nt
Organism: Ictalurus punctatus (channel catfish)
Lineage: Eukaryota; Metazoa; Chordata; Actinopteri; Siluriformes; Ictaluridae
Source: Ensembl
GGAGUGCAGAUGCAGCGAGGACUUGCGCUUUAAGCCCGUCCCAAAUCAUCAUGAAGGGGGGGCGCGGACACUCCAAAACUCCAGUGCGUAAAAGUUGAUCCACAUGGGUUAUGCGCGCACACCGGGCAUCCGCGGAUUUUAUCCUUCAAGACCUGUCAGGAUUGGAGUGAGUGAAGUGUUUUCUGUGGACUGACCGAUGGAAACAUGAGCCGAUUUUAUUAUCGCAUGCUUCUUUUCCCAUUUACUCUCUUCAGUACUGUUUUACUUCCGACUUCUGGAAAAUCCCAAAAUGAAGCUGACAGAAACGGAGAAGAAUGUCCUGACAAUAAGAUUUUAACAGUGGAGUAUCCGUGUAUCAGAGCAGGAGGAGAGCGUGGCACAUGCCUCAGUAUCUUCCAGAAACCUCACAGAAGGAACUUAUAAAGCACCUGGAGAUGAUGAGUCUAUUUGGACCAUCUGUCGCUCAGGACUGAAAGAACCGACCAGCUGCUUCAUUUAUAUUCUGCUGAAGAUUUAAGUGAAACACAUAUUUCUACACUUGGUGAUCCUGCUGAUUUAUUAAAAGUUGUGUGUGUGUGUGUGUGUGUGUGACAUCAAAGAAAGAAAAUACGAACACGGCAGCAAGGUAGAAUUUAACAUUUAAAAUGUCUUUACCAUGCAGUGUAUCACCAACACACACUUCCACGGGUUAAUAACAAUCAGAAUCAAUGCAUUCAUGACAAAAUAGAAAUGAUCUGCAAUUUAAUAAAUAUCUUUUUAAAACAGAUGCUCUGUAGGCUUUGUUUUGCUCGUUCAUAAUUAAAGGAUUUAACAACACAAAGCUCUUUCUAGUCCGCACACACUAGCUAAUAUUAACAUUAUAUAACAUAACUGUUGUUACGGUUUGUUAAGGUUGUCUAUUGAUAGACAGUAACUGCACUCUCUACUGUUUUGUGCUUUCCAAUCUAAUUAAAAUGAAUAUUUCAAGCAUAUUGGUGCUUAAAUUGCUAUUUAUUAACGUGCUUGCGAGUCAGAGUAAUGGCUUGUACUCUUUAGUGUAUUAUUCUGUUGUGUAUUUCCUGUAAUUCUUUCUCCAUUCUGGCAUGUCUCGUUGGGUUAUCUUUGUAUGAGUGAACCUAUUAUGUCCUGAGUCCUGGGCCAGGUAUUUUCCUGCAUCAUUUAUCGCAGCGUGGCCUCAGACAGCACCUGUCUCUGUGCCAUACACUCCUGUCUUACAGUUUCAUUCUCAUCCAAGAAGCAUUUACUCAAGA